RNAcentral lists this ribosomal RNA (1129 nucleotides) under uncultured fungus. RNAcentral describes it as "eukaryotic LSU rRNA". The stretch from base 469 to 1129 matches the Rfam family "Eukaryotic large subunit ribosomal RNA", at positions 1 to 667 of the family's 3401-position model. Lineage: Eukaryota; Fungi. The record is from RNAcentral.
CUUGGUCAUUUAGAGGAAGUAAAAGUCGUAACAAGGUCUCCGUAGGUGAACCUGCGGAGGGAUCAUUAAUGAAAGGCCCGAUGGGCCUCCGACCCUCAAACCCGUGGAGGCGAGCGGUGGUUUGACGCCUUGACGUCGCCCUUAUGAAGCCCGUGAGCCCCGUGUCUGAAUGUAAAUCGAGUUCAAAACUUUCAACAAAGGAUCUCUUGGCUCUUGCAUCGAUGAAGAACGCAGCGAAGCGCGAAAUGUAGUGUGAAUCGCAGAACAUUGUGAAUCAUCGAAUCUUUGAACGCACAUUGCGCCCCCCUUAACGGGGGGGCAUGCCUGUCUGAGCGUCAUCUAGACCCAUGAAACCCGGCUCGGGGUUCGUGUUGGGCCCCGCCUCAGGGCGUCGCCUCAAAUGGAUCGGUCUUUUGAGCGGAUGAGACCCAUUGGGGGCGGCCGUUUGAAGACAGUAAUCAUCGGACUUGACCUCAGAUCAGGUAGGACUACCGCCUGAACUUAAGCAUAUCAAUAAGGCGAGGAACAGAAACCAACAGGGAUUCCCCCAGUAGUGGCGAACGAAGAGGGAGAAGCUCAAAGUUUGAAAUCUGAAGGCGCUCGCCCUCAGAGUUGUAAGCUGAAGAGGCAUUGACCGGUGUGGCCUGGGCUCAAUUUCCUUGGAACAGGAAGUCAUGGAGGGUGAGAACCCCGUCUGUGGCCCGGCGCCCAUCACCCUAGCGUCAUGCCCUNGAAGAGUCGGGUUGUUUGGGAAUGCAGCUCAAAAUGGGUGGUAAAUUUCAUCUAAGGCUAAAUACCGGCGAGAGACCGAUAGUGAACAAGUAGAGUGAUCGAAAGAUGAAAAGUACUUUGAAAAGAGAGUGAGACAGUACGUGAAAUUGUUGAAAGGGAAGCGUUUGGCAUCAGCCCAUGAGGUCCAUCGAUCAUCCCGGCCUGGGCCGGGUGCGCUCGUUGGAUUUCGGGCCAGCGUCGGCUCCGCUCGCUGGAGAAGGCUUUGGGGAAUGUGGCUCCCUCGAUGGAGUGUUAUAGACCCGCUGCCAUGCAGUGAAGGGGGGCCGAGGUCCGCGGUCAUAGACCUAUGGACGCUGGCGUAAUGGUUCCAACGCGAGCCCGUCUUGAAACACGGACC